This 369-nucleotide ribosomal RNA is filed under the name uncultured bacterium. Its description in RNAcentral is "bacterial SSU rRNA". It matches the Rfam family "Bacterial small subunit ribosomal RNA", at positions 28 to 396 of the family's 1533-position model. The record is from RNAcentral.
GACGAACGCUGGCGGCGUGCUUAACACAUGCAAGUCGAGCGGUAAGGCCCUUUCGGGGGUACGACGAGCGGCGAACGGGUGAGUAACACGUGGGUGACCUGCCCUCAGCUCUGGGAUAAGCCUGGGAAACCGGGUCUAAUACUGGAUAUGACUCCAUGACGCAUGUUGUGGGGUGGAAAGCCUUGUGCGGCUGAGGAUGGGCCCGCGGCCUAUCAGCUUGUUGGUGGGGUGAANGGCCUACCAAGGCGACGACGGGUAGCCGGCCUGAGAGGGCGACCGGCCACACUGGGACUGAGACACGGCCCAGACUCCUACGGGAGGCAGCAGUGGGGAAUCUUGCGCAAUGGGCGAAAGCCUGACGCAGCGACG